UCCGUAGGUGAACCUGCGGAAGGAUCAUUACCGAGUUGAUUCGGGCUCCGGCCCGAUCCUCCCACCCUUUGUGUACCUACCUCUGUUGCUUUGGCGGGCCGCGGUCCUCCGCGGCCGCCCCCCUCCCCGGGGGGGUGGCCAGCGCCCGCCAGAGGACCAUCAAACUCCAGUCAGUAAACGAUGCAGUCUGAAAAACAUUUAAUAAACUAAAACUUUCAACAACGGAUCUCUUGGUUCUGGCAUCGAUGAAGAACGCAGCGAAAUGCGAUAAGUAAUGUGAAUUGCAGAAUUCAGUGAAUCAUCGAAUCUUUGAACGCACAUUGCGCCCUUUGUAUUCCGAAGGGCAUGCCUGUUCGAGCGUCAUUACAACCCUCAAGCUCUGCUUGGUAUUGGGCACCGUCCUUUGCGGGCGCGCCUCAAAGACCUCGGCGGUGGCGUCUUGCCUCAAGCGUAGUAGAACAUACAUCUCGCUUCGGAGCGCAGGGCGUCGCCCGCCGGACGAACCUUCUGAACUUUUCUCAAGGUUGACCUCGGAUCAGGUAGGGAUACCCGCUGAACUUAAGCAUAUCAAUAAGCGGAGGA
This 582-nucleotide ribosomal RNA is filed under the name Botryosphaeria dothidea. Its description in RNAcentral is "eukaryotic LSU rRNA". The stretch from base 211 to 363 matches the Rfam family "5.8S ribosomal RNA". The record is from RNAcentral. Lineage: Eukaryota; Fungi; Ascomycota; Dothideomycetes; Botryosphaeriales; Botryosphaeriaceae.